UACGUAGGGGGCAAGCGUUGUCCGGAAUCAUUGGGCGUAAAGCGCGCGUAGGCGGCCCUGUAAGUCCGUUGUGAAAGUCAAAGGCUCAACCUUUGAAAGCCGAUGGAUACUGCAGGGCUAGAGUCCGGAAGAGGCGAGUGGAAUUCCUGGUGUAGCGGUGGAAUGCGCAGAUAUCAGGAGGAACACCAAUGGCGAAGGCAGCACUCUGGGACGUGACUGACGCUGAGACGCGAAAGCGUGGGGAGCAAACAGG
This 253-nucleotide ribosomal RNA is filed under the name uncultured bacterium. RNAcentral describes it as "partial 16S ribosomal RNA". It matches the Rfam family "Bacterial small subunit ribosomal RNA", at positions 524 to 776 of the family's 1533-position model. The record is from RNAcentral.